UGGGGAAUAUUGGACAAUGGGCGCAAGCCUGAUCCAGCCAUGCCGCGUGAGUGAUGAAGGCCUUAGGGUUGUAAAGCUCUUUUGUCCGGGAAGAUAAUGACUGUACCGGAAGAAUAAGCCCCGGCUAACUUCGUGCCAGCAGCCGCGGUAAUACGAAGGGGGCUAGCGUUGCUCGGAAUCACUGGGCGUAAAGGGCGCGUAGGCGGACUCUUAAGUCGGGGGUGAAAGCCCAGGGCUCAACCCUGGAAUUGCCUUCGAUACUGAGAGUCUUGAAUUCGGAAGAGGUUGGUGGAACUGCGAGUGUAGAGGUGAAAUUCGUAGAUAUUCGCAAGAACACCGGUGGCGAAGGCGGCCAACUGGUCCGAUACUGACGCUGAGGCGCGAAAGCGUGGGGAGCAAACAGG
Molecule: ribosomal RNA, 404 nt
Filed under: Acidobacteriota bacterium
Lineage: Bacteria; Pseudomonadati; Acidobacteriota
Description: Acidobacteria bacterium partial 16S ribosomal RNA
Rfam family: Bacterial small subunit ribosomal RNA
Source: RNAcentral